GAGAGACUGCUUGCGUGUUUCCAUUGGAUCAACCUGGCUUUGAUACCACUGAUAGGUGGUCUACGGCUGACCCUCUGGCCAAAGAAAUUUAGAAAAGAGAUGAAGAAGAAGUAACAAGAGAGAUUGGGGCAAUUUUCUCAUAUCCUUUCUCAAAGCAAACAUUACAAUUUAAAGGGAAAAUGUAAACUACUUCUAAUAAAAU
RNAcentral lists this long non-coding RNA (202 nucleotides) under Capsicum annuum. RNAcentral's name for it is "long non-coding RNA (CANN_LNC000056)". The record is from RNAcentral. Lineage: Eukaryota; Viridiplantae; Streptophyta; Magnoliopsida; Solanales; Solanaceae.